GAAUUCGCCCUUAGAGUUUGAUCCUGGCUCAGGACGAACGCUGGCGGCGCGCUUAACACAUGCAAGUCGAACGAGCGAGAGAGAGCUUGCUUUCUCAAGCGAGUGGCGAACGGGUGAGUAACGCGUGAGGAACCUGCCUCAAAGAGGGGGACAACAGUUGGAAACGACUGCUAAUACCGCAUAAGCCCACGACCCGGCAUCGGGUAGAGGGAAAAGGAGCAAUCCGCUUUGAGAUGGCCUCGCGUCCGAUUAGCUAGUUGGUGAGGUAAUGGCCCACCAAGGCGACGAUCGGUAGCCGGACUGAGAGGUUGAACGGCCACAUUGGGACUGAGACACGGCCCAGACUCCUACGGGAGGCAGCAGUGGGGAAUAUUGCACAAUGGGGGAAACCCUGAUGCAGCGACGCCGCGUGGAGGAAGAAGGUCUUCGGAUUGUAAACUCCUGUUGUUGAGGAAGAUAAUGACGGUACUCAACAAGGAAGUGACGGCUAACUACGUGCCAGCAGCCGCGGUAAAACGUAGGUCACAAGCGUUGUCCGGAAUUACUGGGUGUAAAGGGAGCGCAGGCGGGAAGACAAGUUGGAAGUGAAAUCCAUGGGCUCAACCCAUGAACUGCUUUCAAAACUGUUUUUCUUGAGUAGUGCAGAGGUAGGCGGAAUUCCCGGUGUAGCGGUGGAAUGCGUAGAUAUCGGGAGGAACACCAGUGGCGAAGGCGGCCUACUGGGCACCAACUGACGCUGAGGCUCGAAAGUGUGGGUAGCAAACAGAGAUUAGAUACCCUGGUAGUCCACACUGUAAACGAUGAUUACUAGGUGUUGGGAGGAUUGACCCCUUCAGUGCCGCAGUUAACACAAUAAGUAAUCCACCUGGGGAGUACGACCGCAAGGUUGAAACUCAAAGGAAUUGACGGGGGCCCGCACAAGCAGUGGAGUAUGUGGUUUAAUUCGACGCAACGCGAAGAACCUUACCAAGUCUUGACAUCCUGCGACGCACAUAGAAAUAUGUGUUUCCUUCGGGACGCAGAGACAGGUGGUGCAUGGUUGUCGUCAGCUCGUGUCGUGAGAUGUUGGGUUAAGUCCCGCAACGAGCGCAACCCUUAUGGUCAGUUACUACGCAAGAGGACUCUGGCCAGACUGCCGUUGACAAAACGGAGGAAGGUGGGGAUGACGUCAAAUCAUCAUGCCCUUUAUGACUUGGGCUACACACGUACUACAAUGGCGUUAAACAAAGAGAAGCAAGACCGCGAGGUGGAGCAAAACUCAGAAACAACGUCCCAGUUCGGACUGCAGGCUGCAACUCGCCUGCACGAAGUCGGAAUUGCUAGUAAUCGCAGAUCAGCAUGCUGCGGUGAAUACGUUCCCGGGCCUUGCACACACCGCCCGUCA
RNAcentral lists this ribosomal RNA (1384 nucleotides) under uncultured bacterium. RNAcentral's name for it is "bacterial SSU rRNA". It matches the Rfam family "Bacterial small subunit ribosomal RNA". The record is from RNAcentral.